CCAAAAAAACAUAUAAAAACAACGAUCUAUCUCAAAGAAAAAAAUUCCAAUUUAAACAUUAUAAAAAAUACAAUUUUUUAAAUCAAACUCAAAAGAGUUUUUAAAGAACUAUGCAUCAGAAAUAAAUGGCUCAGAAUUCUAAAUUGGAAUUCUAAUAAAAAAUAUGCACUGUGUAAUAAGAAGCACGUUUACUUUUUUGGUGACAAAAAAAAGGAAAAUAAUAGAGAAAAAGAAAAAAAAAGAACAAAAAAGUGCUAUGGGGCGAUUUGUCAAUGAGCUAUAUGCCGAAUGCAGCAAGCAUUUCAUUUGGAUAGCUGUGAAUUAUCUGAUUCCCUUGUUUGACAAACAACAAACUUCUGAAUAUAUUUUACCAUUUGAAUAAAAAGCCUUUUUCACCCCCGAA
Long non-coding RNA from Spea bombifrons (plains spadefoot toad), 403 nucleotides. RefSeq lists it as uncharacterized. Lineage: Eukaryota; Metazoa; Chordata; Amphibia; Anura; Pelobatidae. The transcript is spliced from 2 exons. The record is from RefSeq and is a predicted model, not a curated record.